GCGCCCGUAGCUCAGCGGAUAGAGCGCCUGACUACGAAUCAGUAGGUCGUUGGUUCAAAUCCAAUCGGGCGCU
RNAcentral lists this transfer RNA (73 nucleotides) under Bacillota bacterium. Its description in RNAcentral is "tRNA-Arg". It matches the Rfam family "tRNA". Rfam says of the family: Transfer RNA (tRNA) molecules are approximately 80 nucleotides in length. Their secondary structure includes four short double-helical elements and three loops (D, anti-codon, and T loops). Further hydrogen bonds mediate the characteristic L-shaped molecular structure. tRNAs have two regions of fundamental functional importance: the anti-codon, which is responsible for specific mRNA codon recognition, and the 3' end, to which the tRNAs corresponding amino acid is attached (by aminoacyl-tRNA synthetases). tRNAs cope with the degeneracy of the genetic code in two manners: having more than one tRNA (with a specific anti-codon) for a particular amino acid; and 'wobble' base-pairing, i.e. permitting non-standard base-pairing at the 3rd anti-codon position. The record is from RNAcentral. Lineage: Bacteria; Bacillati; Bacillota.